RNAcentral lists this ribosomal RNA (293 nucleotides) under Limonius infuscatus. RNAcentral describes it as "partial large subunit ribosomal RNA". Lineage: Eukaryota; Metazoa; Arthropoda; Insecta; Coleoptera; Elateridae. The record is from RNAcentral.
ACUGUCUCUAGAAAAUUUAUUAUUAAAAUUAACUUUUAAGUUAAAAGGCUUAAAUUUUACUUAAAGACGAGAAGACCCUAUAGAGUUUUAUACCUAUAAUUAUAAUGAGUACUUGGUUAUUUUAUUUUCUUGUCUUAUUAGGUAUUUGGUUGGGGUGACUUAAAGAUUAAAUAAACUCUUUAAAUUUAUAAUCAUUGAUUUGUGAAUUUAUAAUCUAGUUUUUUAAAGUUAAAAUAAAUUACCUUAGGGAUAACAGCGUAAUUUCUUUUUAGAGUUCUUAUUGAAAGAGAAGU